GGAGAAACAGGGACACUACGAAUCACGGCGUCUGUGGCAGCAUGUCACCUCAGCUCUGAGAUCAGGAAACAUUGACUCUGCUACAGAGCACAAACACUGUCUGGAGGAGAGGCAGAGAGCAGAGGGCCGACAGAGAGCAGCCUCCAACACACCCUGGACACCCAAGUACUUCAUCAAGGAGGGCGAGGGCUGGGUGUAUCACAACCCCUUGUGGAAGACCCACUGACGAGGGGAGGGGCCUCGGGGGGGAGGGGCAACGUGCCAGCUGCCAAUCACAGCACAGAGAGCGGCCUGCUGGUGGUCACGGCAACACACAGGGGACCAGCUAGCCGGGCCACUAGAGACUAGAGGAAAUAUACAAGGGGCCUGUGUUCAAAAUGGAACCCUAUUCUCUAUAUAGCGGACAACUGCAGAAGGAGUGCACUAUAUAGGGAAUAGGGUGCUAAUUUCAGAUUUGCCCAAGGAUUGUCUUGGAUGAGGAGCUUGUGUCUCAGUCAUUCAAUAAGAAUGAGAGGUGCCAAAGACUCUCAGAGGGACAGGAACUACAGUCAAGACAGAAAAAGCUCACUGAGUUUCCCUGUCAGAAGCUGACCUGCUACCACACGAUACAGGAAACUCGGCGGCCAUUUUGGAGACGGACCGGGUCGAACCAGGAAGAGGUUGGUUAGGGACAGAAGAUGAGCGUGAUCGUUGGUGGUCAGAGAUAGCUGAACAAUUAUGUAGCUUUAAAAAAAUAUAUAUAGUAGAAUCUAAAUACCAGAAGAAUAUAUUACAUUCACAUGCUUCUUCCUUCACUUUCAAUUUGUUUGCACAGGUACUGUAGCUGUCUCCACUGUUAUUACCCAGUAGGCCACAGGAGGGGUUGUCCUUCCAGCUGUCCCCACUGUUAUUACCCAGUAGGCCACAGGAGGGGUUGUCCUUCCAGCUGUCUCCACUGUUAUUAC
This is a long non-coding RNA of Oncorhynchus gorbuscha (pink salmon), 944 nucleotides long. RefSeq lists it as uncharacterized. The record is from RefSeq and is a predicted model, not a curated record. The transcript is spliced from 3 exons. Lineage: Eukaryota; Metazoa; Chordata; Actinopteri; Salmoniformes; Salmonidae.